GACGAACGCUGGCGGCGUGCUUAACACAUGCAAGUCGAACGGAAAGGCCCUGCUUGCCGGGUACUCGAGUGGCGAACGGGUGAGUAACACGUGGGUGAUCUGCCCUGCACUUCGGGAUAAGCCUGGGAAACUGGGUCUAAUACCGGAUAGGAGCCAUUUUUAGUGUGAUGGUUGGAAAGUUUUUUCGGUGUAGGAUGAGCUCGCGGCCUAUCAGCUUGUUGGUGGGGUAAUGGCCUACCAAGGCGGCGACGGGUAGCCGGCCUGAGAGGGUGGACGGCCACAUUGGGACUGAGAUACGGCCCAGACUCCUACGGGAGGCAGCAGUGGGGAAUAUUGCACAAUGGGCGCAAGCCUGAUGCAGCGACGCCGCGUGGGGGAUGACGGCCUUCGGGUUGUAAACUCCUUUGGCUAGGGACGAAGCUUUUUGUGACGGUACCUAGAUAAGAAGCACCGGCUAACUACGUG
Molecule: ribosomal RNA, 465 nt
Filed under: uncultured bacterium
Lineage: Bacteria
Description: partial 16S ribosomal RNA
Rfam family: Bacterial small subunit ribosomal RNA
Source: RNAcentral